This 520-nucleotide unclassified non-coding RNA is filed under the name uncultured Glomus. Its description in RNAcentral is "SSU rRNA". It matches the Rfam family "Eukaryotic small subunit ribosomal RNA", at positions 569 to 1089 of the family's 1831-position model. Lineage: Eukaryota; Fungi; Glomeromycota; Glomeromycetes; Glomerales; Glomeraceae. The record is from RNAcentral.
AGCAGCCGCGGUAAUUCCAGCUCCAAUAGCGUAUAUUAAAGUUGUUGCAGUUAAAAAGCUCGUAGUUGAAUUUCGGGAUCAAUAUGUUGGUCGUGCCUCGGUACGUACUAGCUUAUUGGUUUCUCCUUUCUGAAGAACCAUGAUGUCAUUUAUUUGGUGUCGUGGGGAAUCAGGACUGUUACUUUGAAAAAAUUAGAGUGUUUAAAGCAGGCUCACGCUUGAAUACAUUAGCAUGGAAUAAUGAAAUAGGACGUUUGAUUCUAUUUUGUUGGUUUCUAGGAUCGACGUAAUGAUUAAUAGGGAUAGUUGGGGGCAUUAGUAUUCAAUUGUCAGAGGUGAAAUUCUUGGAUUUAUUGAAGACUAACUACUGCGAAAGCAUUUGCCAAGGAUGUUUUCAUUAAUCAAGAACGAAAGUUAGGGGAUCGAAGACGAUCAGAUACCGUCGUAGUCUUAACCAUAAACUAUGCCGACUAGGGAUCGGAUGGUGUUAAGUUUUUUAAUGUACUCAUUCCGGCGUCCG